Molecule: long non-coding RNA, 2083 nt
Organism: Pantherophis guttatus
Lineage: Eukaryota; Metazoa; Chordata; Lepidosauria; Squamata; Colubridae
Source: RefSeq, a predicted model, not a curated record
AAGAAGGAAGAGGCUGCAGAAUAACAGAGGGAGGGAAAAUCCACUCAGUUCCCCUUCUUUUUCUCUAGGGGACCCAUGUGCCAGUUCUCCAUCAUUAAUCCAUGAAACGUAGUUAACCGAAAAUGUGAUCCUAGAGGGGCAAGAUUAAAAGCAGCCUCAAAGACCGAUUGCCCGGGCGGGCUGCUACCCGGUCACCGUCUGCACGGCUGCGUUCCUGAAAGUGGCUUUCUUUGAAAGCUCUCUAGGUAGCUCUCAGCAAGCCACAAUCUCUUCGCACCAAACCACUGAAGACGUCUUUGAAGAUAUCAGUUUCCAUCCUGGUCUAAUAAUAGCAUUGGAAGCUUGGGCAUUUCAAUAAGGGAAACUAUAUAAGAAGAAACACCAAGCUACAGCACCAAGAAGAAGUCAUCUCUGCCAGCAUAACUGGCUGGCACAGUUACUGCCAUCUUCUGGAGAUGAUCUGGUUUUACAAGCCUCAAGUCUUUGUCAUUUCUGGUGAAUGGAAAGGAAGUGGGUUAAUCACGUUUUGUAUCCUCAACAGUGAUGGUUGAGGGUGCUUGGAAAAAAGAUUUUGUUAAAGUUCAGAGAUUAAAGCCAAAAAAUGAACACUUAUGUAAAAACUCUGAAACCAUAAUCAUAUGGCCACCCUCAUCAGUCAGAAAUAGAUUGCUCUUCAAUUCUUUUGUACCACUGUAGUCCAAAGAUACGAAGGCACAUUAUUCUCAUUGCUGGAGCAAUACCCUUCCUUCUGCCAGUUGAAACUGCUGGCUGAAUUCUUAUGCUGGUAGGAGAGUUCUAGUGCAAAACAAAAGAGAAGGGUCAUUGUCACCCUUUUGGGAGGAUGGCCACUUACAUGCUUACCUGUUAUACCUAAAGAGGGCAAGCCACAAGCUGCAGCAACCUAACUUUGGAAGAACAGAGUCUCAGGUUGCCAGUUCUUCACCCGACCCUGGUUGAAGAUAGAGAGGAGGUAGAUGUAGUCUUCAUUAGGAAACAAAUUAAGUCCUUGCUUACUGUUUUGUUUUCCUUCCCAUUUCUUUUUAUCUUUCACCUUCCCCCAAGCACCCUCAAAGAAUCAGAGGCACACUAGCUGUGCCUUUUAGAUCCUGCCUUGCUCCCAUAACACAGAUAGCAAACAACACAAUAAGAAUGAACAGCUCCAGAAACAGAUUUCUAUAUCAGAAGUUUCUGAGUCAUAAUAGCCAUAUGUUAUUCCUGUACUGUCACUCCUAUUUUCUGAUGAACCCAUUACUGUUGUUAUUUUUGCAUGCCUAACUCUACCAUCCCAUCUAUGACUGAAUAAUUCAACAGUCAUCACAGUGAACAGUUUUGCUGGAAUAUUGGCAAUUGCAGCAUCAAAUCAGUCUCAACUGUUGGAAACUUCAUGGUUGCAUCCAUGGAGAUUUAAGAUAAAAUACAAAAAUGAUUUGCUACUGUCUUUUAAUUUUUAAAAAUGUCCUAGUUAGUUUAACAGCCCUGCAUUUACUGCUGGUCUCCCUUCCAAGUACUAACCACACCACACCUUGAGUUUAGGAGAGUCUGACACGAACAAUAUGACUAUUUCUUUUUUGUAAGUCAAAUUCUACUAUGCACAUGCUUGCAUUCCCAUGAAAUAAGGUAUUCUAUUCUACGUACUGUUAAGCUUUAAAUUGUGUCUUAGAGGUAUUUUACAUGUAAGAGAUUAGAACUGUGCCAAUAGAAGAGAAUGUAUUUACCUCAGGUUUGAACUGUGGAAUCCUUGGUGCUGAGACUGGUUCUUGCUUGCAGCAUUUUGUUACCUGACUAGGUAACAUCUUUAAUGCUAGAAGCGAGUGGGGUUUGCUUUCUGUUUAUAUACAGUAGCUUGUCCUGUCAGUGUUGGUGGAGAUAUUGUUUUCUCCUUGGUAGGUCCUUGACUAGGCUUUUGUUUACUACUUGUUAGUCUGCAAGAAAACAACCAAGCUCAGUGACACCAUGGACUCCACAGAUUAGAAAUGUUUGUUAUAUUUUGCCUUUCAGUUUAAAUAAUAAUCAAUGUGCCUUACAAUAUUAAGAUUAAAACUUUUGUAUCUUUUGUAUCUUAUCUAUUAAAACUUUUCUAACU